GGGGCUGCGGCGGCGCUGCGGGCGGGCGCGGACCUUGCCCAGCGCCCGCUGAUCGGCGGGCGGGCGGGCGAUCGCACGGGCGCGGCACCUGCGGGCAGGAGCGUCUGGCUGCCGCAGCGCCGGAUAGCCCGUCCCCCAGCUGCUGCUGAGAUGAGUGCAGUGUCGGAGCCCCAGGCCGCCCACAGCCCCCUGGAGAAGCCGCCCAGCACCGCGAUCCUGUGUAACACCUGCGGGAAUGUGUGCAAGGGGGAGGUGCUAAGGGUCCAGAACAAGUACUUCCACAUCAAGUGCUUCGUCUGCAAAGCAUGCGGCUGUGACCUGGCCGAGGGCGGCUUCUUCGUGCGGCAGGGCGAGUACAUCUGCACGCGGGACUACCAGCGGCUGUACGGGACCCGCUGCUUCAGCUGCGACCAGUUCAUCGAGGGCGAGGUGGUGUCGGCGCUGGGCAAGACCUACCACCCCGACUGCUUCGUGUGCGCCGCGUGCCGGCUGCCCUUCCCGCCGGGGGACCGAGUGACCUUCAACGGGAAGGAAUGCAUGUGUCAGAAGUGCUCCCUGCCCAAGACAGCAGGCAGCAGCGUGCACCUGUCCCAGGGCCUCUGGAGUUGUGGGGGCUGUGGCACAGAAAUAAAAAAUGGCCAGUCCCUGGUGGCUCUGGACAAACACUGGCAUCUGGGCUGUUUCAAGUGUGAGACGUGUGGGAAGCAACUGGAUGCGGAGUACAUCAGCAAGGACGGGCUGCCCUACUGCGAGGCCGACUACCACACCAAGUUCGGCAUCCGCUGUGACGGCUGUGAGAAGUACAUCACGGGGCACGUGCUGGAGGCAGGAGAAAAACACUACCACCCACUGUGUGCGCUAUGCGUCCGGUGCGGCCGGAUGUUUGCGGAAGGCGAGGAGAUGUAUCUUCAAGGUUCCUCCAUCUGGCACCCGGCGUGCCGACAAGCAGCCAGAACUGAAGACAAAAACAAGGAAACCAGAAGCUCUUCCGAGAGCAUCAUUUCUGUACCUGCUUCCAGCACCUCGGGGUCUCCAAGCCGCGUGAUCUAUGCGAAGCUGGGCGAUGAGAUUCUCGACUACAGGGAUUUGGCUGCUCUUCCUAAAAGCAAGGCCAUCUACAACAUCGACCGCCCCGACAUGAUCUCCUACUCGCCGUACAUCAGCCACUCCGCGGCGGGCAGGCAGAGCAGCCAUGAGUCACCGCAGGUACUCUCACCAACGCCGACGGAGGGGGAUCAGGAUGACCGCUCGUACAAGCAGUGCCGGACCUCCAGCCCGAGCUCCACUGGGUCAGUCAGCCUCGGGCGCUACACGCCGACCUCACGGUCGCCCCAACACUACAGCCGUCCAGCUGGUACUGUGAGUGUUGGUACCAGUAGCUGCCUGUCCCUGUCCCAACACCCAAGCCCUACAUCCGUGUUCAGACAUCAUUACGUCCCCUACUUCCGAGGCAGUGAAAGUGGCCGGAGCACCCCCAGCCUCUCGGUGCUCUCAGACAGCAAGCCUCCCCCCUGCACCUACCAGCAGGCGCCUCGCCACUUCCACAUCCCAGACACUGGCGUAAAAGAUAACAUCUAUAGGAAACCCCCUAUCUACAAACAGCAUGGUCCUGUAGCCCAAUCCCCAAUUUCCAAGCUCUCGGGCCUGAUGUCAGUCUUGUCCUUGGUGGUGCACAAGGCAGGGUGCUCCAAAAGGCUCGAAGGUCCAAGCCCUCCGCAGGUUGCAGCCGUCAGGCGACCCGAUGGACAGGAUGGAGCGUUGGAGCAGGAUAACAGGAAGCAGAAGACCAGCUGGCUGCUUCUCCAGGGGGAUACAGACACUAGGACUAACUCUCCAGACCUAGACAGCCAGUCUUUGUCCCACAGUAGCGGGACCGAUAGAGACCCUCUCCAAACAAUGCAAGGGGACAACUUUUACUCACGAUUCCCCUAUUCCAAAUCUGACCCUCUCCCAGGACACGGAAAGAAUGGCUUGGACCACCGGAAUGCCAAUCUGGCCCCUUGUGGAGCAGACCCGGAUGCCAGCUGGGGCACGCGAGAAUACAAGGUAAGAGGGGCUGCCCGCUGCCACGCCGACCUCUGCCCGCCGCCAUGCACCUGCCCAGAUCUAUCCUUAUGACGCCCUCAUUGUCACCAACCGAAUUCGCGUCAAACUGCCCAAGGAUGUGGACCGGACGCGGCUGGAGAGGCACCUGUCGCCCGAGGAUUUCCAGGAAGUAUUUGGGAUGAGCGUGGAAGAGUUUGACCGCCUGGCCCUCUGGAAAAGGAAUGACCUCAAGAAGAAAGCCCUAUUGUUUUGACGGCUGCUGGUGUUCGUGACCGUGCGCAGCAGCAGCAGAGCCCGGGACACCUGGCGAGAACCACGAAAACCCCUCCUAUUGCACCUGGCUCUGGCUUCCCUGUGUCUGUGGGGGGCUGGCGGUGGGCCCCUGGAGAGGGCUGGGCUGGAGGCGGGGGCAGGAGGAGGUCCCAGAGCAGGUGCGACCUCUGUUUCUGCCAGCAAUGCUCCCGCCCCUGGUUCAGAGCCCAGACGCCUUGCUUUGUGCUGUUCCUUCCCCGCUGUUGCUUGGCAUCAGGGAGAUGCUGCAAAAUAGCUGUCCCAGGAGAUCAAGGAACACUUACGCGACGUGCAGCCCACCUUCCUGACCCCUGUGCAGUGCCCCGAACCCCCGCCCCCUGCACUAGGCCCUGGGGGCACAGAGGUGCCUGGGACUCGGGAUUGGAGGAGGUUUGUCAAUGACAGACGCUGACACAAUCAUGGGUGGGUGGGCAUCUGGCUCCCAGUGUCUGCUCACCUCCCCCCCACUUGCUCAGCCCUGGGGAGGCAAAGCCUUGCACCCAGACAGGCCAGGCCAGGGAGAGUGCCGCAGAGCACCCGGACUGCACGAAGUCAAGCGCAGGGUGCAUGAUUUUUGCAUCUGCUUGUGACGAAGUCUGUUUUUAGGGAUAAACGUCAGCCUGACAGGGUACCUUCGGCCAGGGCCCUCCAUGCACUGCAUUUUUCUUCCAAAUCAUCCCCUAGAUGCCUAAAUGAUAUCUUUAAAGUAACACAGAAGUUUUUAUUUUAUUAAGGAGCAUAGCCUACUUAAACAUAAGACGACAUAUAUAGAGUUCCAUUUUAUGGUCCCGCGGAAGGGAGCGCCUCCAGCCUUAUUCUCCACUGCUCAGAUCUGUGUGUUUUUGCUUCUUGGUGUGUUCCUAACACCUAGGGCUCCUUGUCGGGUUUCUUUCCAUUGUUUUUUUUUUUUUUUCUUUUUCACCUGUCACACAGGUGCCCUUAAGGGCAGCCCUUGCCCACAUAAUGCCCACGUAAUGCCCACGUAAUGCUCUUUGUAAGUAUGUGUGAAGUGUAGCCACCACAGUCUGCCUCGCUGUUAUUCUCCACGUCUUGGAGAGAGAACAUCCUCUUCUGAUGGCCAAAGCCCUGGAAUGAUGGAUUUCCAUGCGUCCAGCCUAAUACCCAACGUAGCCCUUGGUGUGCCUGUCUUUCCCGCAGUGGAACGUAGCCCCCUGGGCUGAAGCCUUCUGCAUGAGUGUGUGGUCCUGAGACAGGCACCUGGCCGCUGGGGAAGGAGGCGGGAGACGCCACCCUCUUCUGGCCUGCAAGGUCAGCACAGGGUCCUGCAGCAGAAGGCUGGCCAGGCCCCCUGCUGAAAGGCGUCCGUGUCUGUAAUUAGGUGCGGUAGGGCUGGUGCCUGUCCCAGGAAACUUGUAAUGUGGGUUGAGAGGUUUAUGAAUCACUGGGAAGGUGUCACCAAAGUCUGUUCCCCUGUGUUCUGUGGAGCUGUGUCUGUGUUCCUGGCCGUCCCGUCUGUGAGUCAGCAUGACUCAGAUCCUUCCAGCCCUACCACGCACCCCAUUGCGCACCAGCUUCCCACCAGCCCGGCUCGGCCAGGGAGGCGUGUUUCUAGCACCUAAUGCACUUCCUUCCCUUUAGCAAUCUGCGCCCCGAGCAACUGGAAACCCCCGGGUUUUUCAUUAGUGCAAUGUCCUGUCAGCUCCCAGGGGAGCCUGGAAAAAUAAAGGACGGUGUACCCUAACUUGUGAAGGUGAAA
Molecule: RNA transcript, 4054 nt
Organism: Zalophus californianus (California sea lion)
Lineage: Eukaryota; Metazoa; Chordata; Mammalia; Carnivora; Otariidae
Gene: ABLIM2
Gene name: actin binding LIM protein family member 2
Exons: 23
Source: RefSeq, a predicted model, not a curated record